This 100-nucleotide small nuclear RNA is filed under the name Jaculus jaculus (lesser Egyptian jerboa). The record is from RNAcentral. Lineage: Eukaryota; Metazoa; Chordata; Mammalia; Rodentia; Dipodidae.
GUGCUCGCUUUGGCAGCACACGUAUGGAACGAUGCAGAGAAGACUAGCAUGGUCCCUGCACAAGGAUGACAUGUAAAUCCAUGAAGUGUUUCAUGUAUUU